Molecule: ribosomal RNA, 440 nt
Filed under: uncultured bacterium
Lineage: Bacteria
Description: partial 16S ribosomal RNA
Rfam family: Bacterial small subunit ribosomal RNA
Source: RNAcentral
CCUACGGGAGGCAGCAGUGGGGAAUAUUGCACAAUGGGGGGAACCCUGAUGCAGCAACGCCGCGUGGGUGAAGAAGUAUUUCGGUAUGUAAAGCCCUGUCAGCAGGGAAGAAGAUGACGGUACCUGACCAAGAAGCCCCGGCUAACUACGUGCCAGCAGCCGCGGUAAUACGUAGGGGGCAAGCGUUAUCCGGAUUUACUGGGUGUAAAGGGAGCGUAGACGGCAGGGCAAGUCUGGAGUGAAAGGCCGGGGCCCAACCCCCGGACUGCUCUGGAAACUGCCGGGCUGGAGUGCAGGAGAGGUAAGUGGAAUUCCUAGUGUAGCGGUGAAAUGCGUAGAUAUUAGGAGGAACACCAGUGGCGAAGGCGGCUUACUGGACUGUAACUGACGUUGAGGCUCGAAAGCGUGGGGAGCAAACAGGAUUAGAUACCCUAGUAGUC